RNAcentral lists this ribosomal RNA (254 nucleotides) under uncultured bacterium. RNAcentral describes it as "partial 16S ribosomal RNA". It matches the Rfam family "Bacterial small subunit ribosomal RNA", at positions 524 to 776 of the family's 1533-position model. The record is from RNAcentral.
UACGGGGGGAGCAAGCGUUGUUCGGAUUUACUGGGCGUAAAGGGCGCGUAGGCGGUCAGCCAAAUUCAGUUUUGAAAUCUCCGGGCUUAACUCGGAAAGGUCAACUGAUACUGUGCGACUAGAGUGCAGAAGGGGCAACUGGAAUUCUCGGUGUAGCGGUGAAAUGCGUAGAUAUCGAGAGGAACACCUGCGGCGAAGGCGGGUUGCUGGGCUGACACUGACGCUGAUGAGCGAAAGCCAGGGGAGCAAACGGG